GUAGCGGUACUUUCUAUUUUGAAUUUAAAAAAUUCGCUCGAUCGUUUGUUUGCACUUGUUUGACAAACAUUGUGUUGGUCGAAGAACACACGUGACUCGAUCGAUCGAAUCGUUUGAUCUUCGAUCGAAUAUGAAUGAACAGUUUCGCUGAAGAAUAACGAUAUCGAUAACGAUUAUAUGAAUCGAUGUUUAUGGUGAUUUGGUUCCGAGGUAAGCGCUGAGCUGUUCGACUCAUUCCUCUUGCCAGAAGGUUCGUCACCUCCCCACUCCGUGGCCAGAUCCUUCCAGGGCAUUCUUAUCAUCUAACACGCGCCGUAGAGCACCAUGACGUCGGGUCAUCGGCUACACGUGCGUUCCUGGGAACUUCGAAACAGUAACGUUCGCGUCUCUUAGAAUUUGUUAACGAAAACUGCACAUUGCACACAUCUGUGAGAGAACUCGUCGGCAAACCAAAAUUCAUGGCAUCGGCAGCCCGAUGGCUUUCGAAAGGCCUUGAUAGGUGCAGUUGCUCCUACGGGGUUCCGGAAAAAAAAUCGAUCGAAGGUGUUUACGUAUUUACGAGUUGCGGUGUAUACACGUGGUUUCGAAAGUUUCGCGUCGUAAUUCGUAGCCGUUCGAAUCCGAAGGGACAUCGACGAAAACUCGGAUCGGAUAAUCGUCCUUUAAACGCUUUCUCGAGGUUCGAGACAGGGUCUCGCUCGAUUGGUUCGGAGCGAAGCGAAGAGGCGGAGGAUUUCUGAAAUUACUUGGCGAACGCUGCGAACGUAGACGGUAGCGGAGUGAAGAUUCGCAAGAAAAACUAAGGACAAGAACAAGAUAAGGAGAUGGGAAAACGCGGAGUUUCGACGAUUCGAACGGGGGGUUGUUGGUAUCGAGGUGGAAGGCGAAAAAGUUAUGUCGCGGCAACGACGGAACGCAAUGCAGGGAAAGAGCAUUGCCGGAACUCAACAGGUUUCUAACGCUGGUGAGGUUUGAAAAUCGGUGUUCGUUAGAAUAGACGGCAGGAAGAGAGGAUCGGUGGAACAGGUGCAAGAGAAAAUGUGGAUGGGUUUAAGCUAUCGGUUACAAAGCUCGGCGAGAGUCGACUGUUUGCGAGCCCCGAGUCGCAUCAAGACUAUAUUCUUCGUGGAGGAAAAUUUACGAAUGCUAAGAGCGCGGGUGGUGCCAGGGCGUGAGCGAGCGUAACGAGUUCCUUGGCGCAGGUUUGAUUUAUGCCAGGUCGUAAGGGAAGAAAGCGACUCCUCACCUGCAGAGAGCUAUUCGCCGACCGACGAUGUUCGAACCUAAUGACGACCUGUCGUUCUUCUUUCCUUCGCUCUGUGUUUUUCAAACGAUGUACGUUCGAUC
This is a long non-coding RNA of Bombus pascuorum, 1347 nucleotides long. RefSeq lists it as uncharacterized. The transcript is spliced from 4 exons. The record is from RefSeq and is a predicted model, not a curated record. NCBI's taxonomy places the organism in Eukaryota, Metazoa, Arthropoda, Insecta, Hymenoptera, Apidae.